AUUUCUCCUACAGUAGUGAAAAAUAAAAUUCUUUAAAUGUGCUUAUCUACUACACCUUAAAAGAAAGACAAGAAAUCACUAUUCCUAAAAGAACUUCCAAUCUCAGCCGUCCAUUUGACUCUCUCUUCUUCAUUUGAUGUCUUUAAUCGUGGCCCUUCCUUUGUGAGACUUUUUUCAUCUGUAUUCUACUCUAGCUGCUCAAUUUCGCUGAUGUCACAGAACGUCGUGAUGAAGUAUGCAAUGGAGAGGAGUUUAAUUUUGUGGGUAUUCGUCACCCCUGCAGCACCUGUCCCUGUAGCGUGUUUCAGGUUUAUGUGUAGUUGGAAGCGGGAGGAGCUGUGGAUGUUGCGAGGAAGGAGAUGACCUCACUGCUUGCGUUGCUGGAUUAGGUUUUCCUGUUGACCAGGAUUUGGAGUUUGAUUUGUUCAGAAUGUGUUGUCUGCAGGAGAAAAAUAGAAGUGUAUCAGAAGCCAUGUCAGGAUCAAGCAAACAAGAUUUACUGAACUAUGGACAAAGUGGCUUACAGAAGUAAGAACCUUCGAAGCAAGAACCUUCAGUAGAACCAGAAGAUUCAGUUCCAGAUCUAUACUGCUGACAAGCUGAAAUGUUGGUAUUGGAUUUCCAACAUUGCAUUCUAACUCUUGGCAUGGCCAUUCAGAUUCCAUCUAUGAUAGGUCCUCAAAAUGGUGGAGGCGAUGCUGGGAAGACCAAAGUUAUCUAGGCAUGGCACACACCUUGAAGUCAUCAGCAAUGAGUGAUGACUGUGGGGUGGUUGAUGUCUGGUCUGUGUUGAUGUCAUCUGUAUACUGAGUUUAGAUUGAGAGUUCCAAACUUCAUGGCUUCCCGCUCUGCAAUGCACUUAAGCUAUGUUUCAAGUGUGUAUAAAUACUGCUCUUUGGGUUGAAAUUUAUUCUCAUCCCCUCCCUUUCAUGUGACAUUGAUUUCGUGCCAUAAUCCAAUUGUUUUACCUCAAUGGUUGAGAUUGGUCCUCCAGGUAAUUCCAUCAAAAACUUAAUUUCUGGUAGAGACAGGCUGAGAGCUCGAGUCAUCCGAAAGUGGGACAUGUACCUGUUGGGUGAACCAUCCAAGCCAUAUGCUAUCCACAUGGUUAUUGUUGAUAUUGAGAGACCAAACAAAGUAAGGGUGUUUUUCAACAAGGCCCUCGUGAGGAUGCUACUACUUCAACCUCCAAAUAACCGUGUAUUAAGAUUAAUGUUGUUGAGGAGGGUACUAUUGAGGAAGAUCUUUGUUCAAGUGGAUGCACUACACCAACGGCUAAAGAGUUCAGAAUUCCGGAGGUAUUAACAUGUCCACCAGCUCCAAAGAAGAGAACAGUAAUGCCCAAUAGCUCAUCAAAUUGACCCCAACGAGAAUUUUUUACU
Molecule: long non-coding RNA, 1382 nt
Organism: Lotus japonicus
Lineage: Eukaryota; Viridiplantae; Streptophyta; Magnoliopsida; Fabales; Fabaceae
Exons: 6
Source: RefSeq, a predicted model, not a curated record